GGGUUGUGAGGUUAAGCGACUAAGCGUACACGGUGGAUGCCCUGGCAGUCAGAGGCGAUGAAGGACGUGCUAAUCUGCGAUAAGCGUCGGUGAGGUGAUAUGAACCGUUAUAACCGGCGAUUUCCGAAUGGGGAAACCCAGUGUGUUUCGACACACUAUCAUUAACUGAAUCCAUAGGUUAAUGAGGCGAACCGGGGGAACUGAAACAUCUAAGUACCCCGAGGAAAGAAAUCAACCGAGAUUCCCCAGUAGCGGCGAGCGAACGGGGAGGAGCCCAGAGCCUGAAUCAGUGUGUGUGUUAGUGGAAGCGUCUGGAAAGGCGCGCGAUACAGGGUGACAGCCCCGUACACAAAAUGCACAUACUGUGAGCUCGAUGAGUAGGGCGGGACACGUGGUAUCCUGUCUGAAUAUGGGGGACCAUCCUCCAAGGCUAAAUACUCCUGACUGACCGAUAGUGAACCAGUACCGUGAGGGAAAGGCGAAAAGAACCCCGGCGAGGGGAGUGAAAAGAACCUGAAACCGUGUACGUACAAGCAGUGGGAGCCUCUUAAUGGGGUGACUGCGUACCUUUUGUAUAAUGGGUCAGCGACUUAUAUUCUGUAGCAAGGUUAACCGAAUAGGGGAGCCGAAGGGAAACCGAGUCUUAACUGGGCGUUAAGUUGCAGGGUAUAGACCCGAAACCCGGUGAUCUAGCCAUGGGCAGGUUGAAGGUUGGGUAACACUAACUGGAGGACCGAACCGACUAAUGUUGAAAAAUUAGCGGAUGACUUGUGGCUGGGGGUGAAAGGCCAAUCAAACCGGGAGAUAGCUGGUUCUCCCCGAAAGCUAUUUAGGUAGCGCCUCGUGAAUUCAUCUCCGGGGGUAGAGCACUGUUUCGGCAAGGGGGUCAUCCCGACUUACCAACCCGAUGCAAACUGCGAAUACCGGAGAAUGUUAUCACGGGAGACACACGGCGGGUGCUAACGUCCGUCGUGAAGAGGGAAACAACCCAGACCGCCAGCUAAGGUCCCAAAGUCAUGGUUAAGUGGGAAACGAUGUGGGAAGGCCCAGACAGCCAGGAUGUUGGCUUAGAAGCAGCCAUCAUUUAAAGAAAGCGUAAUAGCUCACUGGUCGAGUCGGCCUGCGCGGAAGAUGUAACGGGGCUAAACCAUGCACCGAAGCUGCGGCAGCGACACUAUGUGUUGUUGGGUAGGGGAGCGUUCUGUAAGCCUGUGAAGGUGGCCUGUGAGGGUUGCUGGAGGUAUCAGAAGUGCGAAUGCUGACAUAAGUAACGAUAAAGCGGGUGAAAAGCCCGCUCGCCGGAAGACCAAGGGUUCCUGUCCAACGUUAAUCGGGGCAGGGUGAGUCGACCCCUAAGGCGAGGCCGAAAGGCGUAGUCGAUGGGAAACAGGUUAAUAUUCCUGUACUUGGUGUUACUGCGAAGGGGGGACGGAGAAGGCUAUGUUGGCCGGGCGACGGUUGUCCCGGUUUAAGCGUGUAGGCUGGUUUUCCAGGCAAAUCCGGAAAACCAAGGCUGAGGCGUGAUGACGAGGCACUACGGUGCUGAAGCGACAAAUGCCCUGCUUCCAGGAAAAGCCUCUAAGCAUCAGGUAACAUCAAAUCGUACCCCAAACCGACACAGGUGGUCAGGUAGAGAAUACCAAGGCGCUUGAGAGAACUCGGGUGAAGGAACUAGGCAAAAUGGUGCCGUAACUUCGGGAGAAGGCACGCUGAUAUGUAGGUGAAGCGACUUGCUCGUGGAGCUGAAAUCAGUCGAAGAUACCAGCUGGCUGCAACUGUUUAUUAAAAACACAGCACUGUGCAAACACGAAAGUGGACGUAUACGGUGUGACGCCUGCCCGGUGCCGGAAGGUUAAUUGAUGGGGUUAGCGGUAACGCGAAGCUCUUGAUCGAAGCCCCGGUAAACGGCGGCCGUAACUAUAACGGUCCUAAGGUAGCGAAAUUCCUUGUCGGGUAAGUUCCGACCUGCACGAAUGGCGUAAUGAUGGCCAGGCUGUCUCCACCCGAGACUCAGUGAAAUUGAACUCGCUGUGAAGAUGCAGUGUACCCGCGGCAAGACGGAAAGACCCCGUGAACCUUUACUAUAGCUUGACACUGAACAUUGAGCCUUGAUGUGUAGGAUAGGUGGGAGGCUUUGAAGUGUGGACGCCAGUCUGCAUGGAGCCGACCUUGAAAUACCACCCUUUAAUGUUUGAUGUUCUAACGUUGGCCCGUAAUCCGGGUUGCGGACAGUGUCUGGUGGGUAGUUUGACUGGGGCGGUCUCCUCCUAAAGAGUAACGGAGGAGCACGAAGGUUGGCUAAUCCUGGUCGGACAUCAGGAGGUUAGUGCAAUGGCAUAAGCCAGCUUGACUGCGAGCGUGACGGCGCGAGCAGGUGCGAAAGCAGGUCAUAGUGAUCCGGUGGUUCUGAAUGGAAGGGCCAUCGCUCAACGGAUAAAAGGUACUCCGGGGAUAACAGGCUGAUACCGCCCAAGAGUUCAUAUCGACGGCGGUGUUUGGCACCUCGAUGUCGGCUCAUCACAUCCUGGGGCUGAAGUAGGUCCCAAGGGUAUGGCUGUUCGCCAUUUAAAGUGGUACGCGAGCUGGGUUUAGAACGUCGUGAGACAGUUCGGUCCCUAUCUGCCGUGGGCGCUGGAGAACUGAGGGGGGCUGCUCCUAGUACGAGAGGACCGGAGUGGACGCAUCACUGGUGUUCGGGUUGUCAUGCCAAUGGCACUGCCCGGUAGCUAAAUGCGGAAGAGAUAAGUGCUGAAAGCAUCUAAGCACGAAACUUGCCCCGAGAUGAGUUCUCCCUGAGACUUAGAGUCUCCUGAAGGAACGUUGAAGACGACGACGUUGAUAGGCCGGGUGUGUAAGCGCAGCGAUGCGUUGAGCUAACCGGUACUAAUGAACCGUGAGGCUUAACCUUACAACGCCGAAG
RNAcentral lists this ribosomal RNA (2920 nucleotides) under Escherichia coli. RNAcentral describes it as "23S ribosomal RNA". It matches the Rfam family "Bacterial large subunit ribosomal RNA". The record is from RNAcentral. Lineage: Bacteria; Pseudomonadati; Pseudomonadota; Gammaproteobacteria; Enterobacterales; Enterobacteriaceae.